CCUACGGGUGGCAGCAGUGGGGAAUCUUGGACAAUGGGCGAAAGCCCAAUCCAGCAAUAUCGCGUGAGUAAAGAAGGGCAAUGCCGCUUGUAAAGCUCUUUCAUCGAGUGCGUGAUCAUGACAGGACUCGAGGAAGAAGCCCCGGCUAACUCCGUGCCAGCAGCCGCAGUAAGACGGGGGGGGCAAGUGUUCUUCGGAAUGACUGGGCGUAAAGGGAACGUAGGCGGUGAAUUGGGUUGAGAGUGAAAGUUGCCAAAAAGUGGCGGAAUGCUCUCGAAACCAAUUCACUCGAGUGAGAUAGAGGAGAGUGGAAUUGUAUGUGUAGGGGUGAAAUCCAUAGAUCUACGAAGGAACGCCAAAAGCAAAGGCAGCUCUCUGGGUCCCUACCGAUGCUGGGGUGCGAAAGCAUGGGGAGCAAACAGGAUUAGAUACCCCUGUAGUC
This 442-nucleotide ribosomal RNA is filed under the name uncultured bacterium. RNAcentral describes it as "partial 16S ribosomal RNA". It matches the Rfam family "Bacterial small subunit ribosomal RNA", at positions 338 to 795 of the family's 1533-position model. The record is from RNAcentral.